This 253-nucleotide ribosomal RNA is filed under the name uncultured bacterium. RNAcentral describes it as "partial 16S ribosomal RNA". It matches the Rfam family "Bacterial small subunit ribosomal RNA", at positions 524 to 776 of the family's 1533-position model. The record is from RNAcentral.
AACGUAGGUGGCGAGCGUUAUCCGGAUUCAUUGGGCGUAAAGAGCUUGUAGGCGGCGUCAUAAGUUGGACGUGAAAACUCCGGGCUUAACUUGGAGAGGCCGUUCAAUACUGUGAGGCUAGAGGGUGUCAGAGGGAAGUAGAAUUCCUGGUGUAGCAGUGAAAUGCGUAGAUAUCAGGAGGAAUACCCGUGGCGAAGGCGGCUUCCUGGGGCACCACUGACGCUGAGAAGCGAAAGCUAGGGGAGCAAACGGG